RNAcentral lists this long non-coding RNA (716 nucleotides) under Nicotiana benthamiana. RNAcentral's name for it is "long non-coding RNA (NBEN_LNC004976)". Lineage: Eukaryota; Viridiplantae; Streptophyta; Magnoliopsida; Solanales; Solanaceae. The record is from RNAcentral.
ACGAUUUAAUCCUAACAAACUAUUUCCUUCCAAUUCAAUGACCAUCAUCCUUCUCACUUCUAUAUAAAAUACUCAAUUACAGAAAUCAUACCCCGUUCAAUUCCUGGAGCUAAGACCCAAAUUCCUACUCACUCUAAGAAAAGAUGCAGCUUCAUUCCAAAGAGCUAAAGAACGACAGUGACCAUUUGACAAUGAUAGUCACUUUUUUGGAUUUCUUAUUUCACUUCUUUUAUUGAGUCUUUCACCGGCCAAACUCAACCUCUCUAUUGUUUAUUCCACAAAAAAUCAAUUUGGAUCUAUUUUUAUCUUUUUUUCUUUUUUCAAGAAUACUUAUUCCAUUUUUCAAUUUUAUACCCCUUUGAUUUCGUUACAUUUGCUAGUUUUUAGCAUUUGGGUUUUGAUUUAUCUUGAUAUUUAUCAAAUGGGGUGUGUUUAAUUCAGUAAAUAAACCAAAAAAUAGAAUCUUGGUAUGGGAUUUUGGGUUUUGUAUUUUUGGGUCAUUUUCAUAAUUUUGAAGAUCUUGUUCAAUGGUGGUUGGAAUUAAGUGUUAACCAGAAAACAUGAUGAGUUCGAAGGACUAAAGUAAGUGGUAUUGUUCGCCAAAUUUUGGUUCUAAAAAUGGAGGUCGUUCGAGGUCACGUUUGAUCCGAGUUUUUCCGGUCGAGAUCCCGUCGAAGGUGCAUACAGACCUAUUUGUAUUUAUGCUUGAAUUUUAU